GAAUCUGAUGGUUUCUUUCUGAGGCCCUGAGACACUAGGUUCAUAUUAUGAUGCAGGUCUAGCUAUAGAGCUUUUGUACGCAUAUGAAAGUUCUUCAUGAUGUAACUCAUAGUUGCAUGAGUAACCAUGUGUUCUGGUUACUCACACACAUGGACAAGCAGUGGGAAAGGUGCUUCUGAAGCAAAGAGAGCCAUGGAGUGGCAAUCUGAGUUUCAGUCAGCUCUACAAGGCCAUGCACCAUAGAAGUCAAGAGGGAGCUGUCUGACUGCUGCGUGUGAUUGUACCCAUCUGUCAACAGAAUCAGAGAUCCGAAUGCAAACUGUAGCGCUCGGGAACACCGUGUGGGUUUCCAACACUCCCUGAAGGACACGAGGACCAUAAACCAGUGAAUGGAUUACAAUAAGGCAUAAAUAGAGCAUUUUUGUCUGUGACAGAUGUAACCCUGCUCUAACACUGCUCUACAUUUAUUUAAAGGAAAAUGGUCUCUAUUUCAAACCAGGUUUCUGAAUUUCAAAUGAGAAUAUCAGUUGUAACCAUUUUUCCAUGGGAAUAAUCGUAAGCCUCCUUUGGAGGUGGUUUGGCAGUGUUGUUUUGGAGGGCACAGGCCAUUAGCUCCCACAGAGCACCCCUUCCCCAGUGAGCACAAGACCAGAGAAGGGACUGCAGGCUUCUGCAUAUCUUGCCGCCCCAAGCAGGGAAAGGCUUGCUUUGCUGCCCUGGCUUGCCAUUUGAAGCCUGCAGCACCACGAGCCAGCCAGGCUGUAAAAGAGUUAUGAGGAAUAAUGUCCCAAAGCCAAGAAGCAGGUGUGAGACAUGCUUCUCACUUGUGCAGACAUAUGCUGCAAAAUGUUGCAACCUUUCCCGCAUAUUAUCUUAAUGUAUAGUCAUUAGGCAGGACAGAGAGGAGAGCGCACAUAUGGAAAACGUCUCUUAUUUGGAGACAGGAGCAUGUACUUCCCUUUGAUGCUGGCACAUGCAAGGAAAUACUGAUAUGCCAACUCCAAACUGCAGAUCACAACCUGAUAAAGAGACAAUCUCAAAGAAGGCAGGAAUUUUACCACGUUUUAGGUUACAAAUAUUUUUUUACGAAUUAUUCCCAGAAGCAACACAGCUGGAUCCUGGAUGACUGCAUCGGUAAGUCCUACCAGGGAAAUAACUUGAAAGACAGAGAUGUGGGAUGAAGGUUGUGCUAAGUUCAGGUAAUGUGGGCCUGUGGCAUUGUGUUAGCUCAUUCCUUGGACAGCCUUUGAUGUACUCACAGCUUUUAAGUCAGGAAAGGAAACAUGCAUGUCAAAUAGCUGGAUAAGAGGGUGUAGCUGAGUAGAAUAUUCAUAUCAGUAAAUGGCCAGAUUCUAACA
Molecule: long non-coding RNA, 1358 nt
Organism: Pezoporus flaviventris
Lineage: Eukaryota; Metazoa; Chordata; Aves; Psittaciformes; Psittacidae
Exons: 2
Source: RefSeq, a predicted model, not a curated record